AGUCUCCUGUAGCUCAGUGGUACAACGUCCGACCAGCAUGCGGAAGGUCAUAGGUUCGACUCCUGUCAGAAUUU
Molecule: transfer RNA, 74 nt
Filed under: Desmophyllum pertusum
Lineage: Eukaryota; Metazoa; Cnidaria; Anthozoa; Scleractinia; Caryophylliidae
Description: tRNA-Ala
Source: RNAcentral